GACGAACGCUGGCGGCGUGCUUAACACAUGCAAGUCGAGCGGUAAGGCCCCUUCGGGGGUACACUAGCGGCGAACGGGUGAGUAACACGUGUGCAAUCUUCCCAUCACAUCGGGAUAACUCCGGGAAACCGAAGCUAAUACCGAAUACGACCACCUCCGGCAUCGGGUGGGGGUGGCAAGUUCCGGCGGUGAUGGAUGAGCUCGCGGCCUAUCAGCUUGUUGUUGGGUUAACGGCCCACCAAGGCUUCGACGGGUAGCCGGCCUGAGAGGGUGACAGGCCACACUGGGACUGAGACACGGCCCAGACUCCUACGGGAGGCAGCAGUGGGGAAUAUUGGACAAUGGGCGAAAGCCUGAUCCAGCAACGCCGCGUGAGGGAUGACGGCCUUCGGGUUGUAAACCUCUUUCAGCAGGGACGAAGCGCAAGUGACGGUACCUGCAGAAGAAGCCCCGGCCAACUACGUG
Molecule: ribosomal RNA, 465 nt
Filed under: uncultured bacterium
Lineage: Bacteria
Description: partial 16S ribosomal RNA
Rfam family: Bacterial small subunit ribosomal RNA
Source: RNAcentral